Molecule: long non-coding RNA, 623 nt
Organism: Helianthus annuus (common sunflower)
Lineage: Eukaryota; Viridiplantae; Streptophyta; Magnoliopsida; Asterales; Asteraceae
Exons: 2
Source: RefSeq, a predicted model, not a curated record
CUCUUCCUCUGCGAUCAUCAUCCUCAUAACUCUCCAAUAAUUGAGACCUUUCUACCACCAUCAUCUACCGAUACAUAGGAUUUACUUAAUCGAUCUUACUCAUCCCAAUCCUCUUCACCACCGUUGUCUGCUUCGUACACAUUCCUCCACCCCCGUCACCAGAUCCUUGCUGAUUAUUAUGUUGUUCUACACAUGUCAUAUAGUUUCUCACCUCUGUUCUUAUCAUCUCUUGCAUCGGAAUUGACGUCAUCAUGCCUUGUUGUUGCUGCUUCCUCUCCGACGACUCGUUUUUACUCCGACAAAGCAUUUUUCCGGCAAUUAGAAGAAGGAAAAGAUCUGGAGAUGAUGGAUACAAACAGAGGUGUGAACUCGCCGGAGAUGAUGGAUACAAACUGAGUUGGUCUCCUUUGUGUGUUUAGUCAUACAGAAAGAAGGUCCCCAGAAUUUUUAGGUGUGCCGAAGUAGUUUGUCGGGUAUGUAGAUGAGGUGAGGGUGGAGGUGGGUGUUAAUAUGGUGGUUGCAGGGUGUUGAUAUAGUGUUUUACUAGGUUAUAACCCCGUGUAUUACACGGGUUAAGUAAAUAAAUUUAUAUAUUAAAUAAUAAAACAUUAUAUCUUUAAAAA